This is a long non-coding RNA of Dermacentor silvarum, 1145 nucleotides long. RefSeq lists it as uncharacterized. The record is from RefSeq and is a predicted model, not a curated record. Lineage: Eukaryota; Metazoa; Arthropoda; Arachnida; Ixodida; Ixodidae. The transcript is spliced from 3 exons.
UAGAAAAACUGAAGAAUGUUUCAUUGCUGAGAUCGUGAUGCAGCUACAAUGUAUGAUUACUCAAGCACACUUGCAUUUCCUUGUUUACCGACUUUCGCACUGUGUUAUCUUCUACCAGCUGCUUAUUUUCCAAGUGUCACUGCGCAGAUAUUGCUUGCAAAGUACAUUAUUAUUCAUAUUUUACAUGUAUACCCCUCUUUAACUGUCACAGAAACCGAUAUGUUUUCUUUUUCGAAAUUCUGUGGCUGAAAGAAAGUAAUGAGAUGCGUGGGUCGAUGUUUUGCAAUUCCUGAGUCACAGUCCGUGUUUAAAUACGCUGAAAUCUUACCGCAGUCUUACCGCAGAUCUACCCGAGAGAACUUGUGCAGCAACCAGCAUUACGAUGUCGGCUGUGAAAGCUGCAUUCGUCCUCAUGCUUGCGCUCACAGUCAUGGUGAGAUCGAUCUCCAGCACCAAUACCAAAAGUGCAGCGUGUUACGACAGAAGUUGCACUUACGAAGAAGACCAUCAAUGCGGACUCGGAUGCAAGUGUGUCCCUUACGGUGAACCCCCGGUUUGGAACUGCACAGUUGCAGCUCCAUGGCGACGUUAAUAGAACGAACCAUAUGAGACUUGAGAAUAGAAGUUGUUAUGAGAAUAAAAGUUGCUGCCUCUAAUGAGAAAAAGUUCAGGUGAAUUUUUUUUUCGACCACAGCGGUGGCCGAGAGGUCAAGUAUCCGCCUUGAACGUGAAGGAGAGUACUACCUUCAUGUUCUUUAACUGUCAAGAACACACUUGGCUUGUUACAGCGAAGCUGUAUACCUCUACCAGCCAAGGAAAUUUUCGUGUCGUUGGGUAAGCGAAAAAGUCACAGGCCUGUGCGGCACACGCAGCACAGUCACAGCGUAAGCUGGUGGAGCGGCUCAAGAGUAGCUCCAAUUUCGGCACCACGCACAACAGGGUCUUAGCGGCAAAUUCUCUUCGCCUCGUUUUGACGAGAACGAUCUGAACUGUCCGCCCGGCGUCGACGGCGAGCUGCGACUUGUAAUGCUCUCUGCACAGCAGUCUGCUGAGCCCGAUGAUGCCUGGUUGUAGCCGCGCACGUAGCUCUAUGAUUCGCUUCUUCAGCAGCGGUUCGCACCUUGCGAGGCGACGCCAUAACGUGU